Molecule: ribosomal RNA, 253 nt
Filed under: uncultured bacterium
Lineage: Bacteria
Description: partial 16S ribosomal RNA
Rfam family: Bacterial small subunit ribosomal RNA
Source: RNAcentral
UACGUAGGGGGCGAGCGUUGUCCGGAUUUAUUGGGCGUAAAGAGCGUGUAGGCGGUUCGGUAAGUCUGUCGUGAAAUCCUGAGGCUCAACCUCGGGCGUGCGAUGGAUACUGCCGGGCUAGAGUGCGGAAGAGGCGAGUGGAAUUCCUGGUGUAGCGGUGAAAUGCGCAGAUAUCAGGAGGAACACCUAUUGCGAAGGCAGCUCGCUGGGACGUAACUGACGCUGAGACGCGAAAGCGUGGGGAGCAAACAGG